UUUCGGAGCGUAAACUCCUUUUAUCAGGAAAGAAUAAUGACGGUACCUGAUGAAUAAGCACCGGCUAACUCCGUGCCAGCAGCCGCGGUAAUACGGAGGGUGCAAGCGUUACUCGGAAUCACUGGGCGUAAAGGACGCGUAGGCGGAUUAUCAAGUCUUUUGUGAAAUCUAGUGGCUUAACCACUAAACUGCUUAGGAAACUGAUAGUCUAGAGUAGGGGAGAGGUAGAUGGAAUUCUUGGUGUAGGGGUAAAAUCCGUAGAGAUCAAGAAGAAUACCCAUUGCGAAAGCGAUCUGCUGGAACCUAACUGACGCUGAGGCGUGAAAGCGUGGGUAGCAAACAGGAUUAGAUACCCUGGUAGUCCACGCCCUAAACGAUGUAUACUAGUUGUUGCUUUGCUAGUCAAGGCAGUAAUGCAGCUAACGCAUUAAGUAUACCGCCUGGGGAGUACGGUCGCAAGAUUAAAACUCAAAGGAAUAGACGGGGACCCGCACAAGCGGUGGAGCAUGUGGUUUAAUUCGAAGAUACGCGAAGAACCUUACCUGGACUUGACAUCCUAAAAACAUCUAAGAGAUUAGAAAGUGCUAGUUUACUAGAAUUUAGUGACAGGUGCUGCACGGCUGUCGUCAGCUCGUGUCGUGAGAUGUUGGGUUAAGUCCCGCAACGAGCGCAACCCACGUGUUUAGUUGCUAACAGUUCGGCUGAGCACUCUAAACAGACUGCCUUCGUAAGGAGGAGGAAGGUGUGGACGACGUCAAGUCAUCAUGGCCCUUAUGUCCAGGGCGACACACGUGGCUACAAUG
Molecule: ribosomal RNA, 803 nt
Filed under: uncultured Bacteroides sp.
Lineage: Bacteria; Pseudomonadati; Bacteroidota; Bacteroidia; Bacteroidales; Bacteroidaceae
Description: bacterial SSU rRNA
Rfam family: Bacterial small subunit ribosomal RNA
Source: RNAcentral